CCCAGCUGUGGGUAACUACCUAGGUUUCCCUGUACCUAGGCAAGUGUUACACUGCUGUGAGAAAAGUAGACAGUAGCUGGUGGGCAUU
Molecule: small nucleolar RNA, 88 nt
Filed under: Ochotona princeps (American pika)
Lineage: Eukaryota; Metazoa; Chordata; Mammalia; Lagomorpha; Ochotonidae
Description: Small nucleolar RNA SNORA74 (ENSOPRG00000024126.1)
Source: RNAcentral